GUGUCAGCAGCCGCGGUAAUACGUAGGGAGCGAGCGUUAUCCGGAUUUAUUGGGCGUAAAGCGUGUGUAGGCGGUUUAUUAAGUAUAAGAUUAAAACCUGAGGCUCAACCUCAGUUCGUCUUAUAAACUGGUAAGCUUGAGUAUAGUAGAGGCAAGUGGAAUUUCUAGUGUAGCGGUUAAAUGUGUAGAUAUUAGAAGGAACACCAGUGGCGAAGGCGACUUGCUGGACUAUCACUGACGCUGAGGCACGAAAGCGUGGGGAGCAAAUAGGAUUAGAUACCCUAGUAGUCCACGCCGUAAACGAUGAGUACUAAGUGUUGGAUUUUCCAGUGCUGAAGUUAACGCAUUAAGUACUCCGCCUGAGUAGUACGGUCGCAAGGCUGAA
This 385-nucleotide ribosomal RNA is filed under the name uncultured bacterium. RNAcentral's name for it is "bacterial SSU rRNA". It matches the Rfam family "Bacterial small subunit ribosomal RNA", at positions 505 to 898 of the family's 1533-position model. The record is from RNAcentral.